Non-coding RNA from Canis lupus familiaris (dog), 94 nucleotides. NCBI's taxonomy places the organism in Eukaryota, Metazoa, Chordata, Mammalia, Carnivora, Canidae. The record is from Rfam.
AGGAGGAACAGCCCCGGUGGCGGGGCAGCUCUGGAAACCUGGAUUCAGCUCCGGCAGGAACUCCGUCUGCAGGGCCUGGAGGCUCCGGGCGGGG